Molecule: ribosomal RNA, 589 nt
Filed under: uncultured bacterium
Lineage: Bacteria
Description: bacterial SSU rRNA
Rfam family: Bacterial small subunit ribosomal RNA
Source: RNAcentral
UCCUACGGGAGGCAGCAGCAGGGAAUCUUCCGCAAUGGACGAAAGUCUGACGGAGCAACGCCGCGUGAGUGAUGAAGGUUUUCGGAUCGUAAAGCUCUGUUGUUAGGGAAGAACAAGUGCGAGAGUAACUGCUCGCACCUUGACGGUACCUAACCAGAAAGCCACGGCUAACUACGUGCCAGCAGCCGCGGUAAUACGUAGGUGGCAAGCGUUGUCCGGAAUUAUUGGGCGUAAAGGGCUCGCAGGCGGUUUCUUAAGUCUGAUGUGAAAGCCCCCGGCUCAACCGGGGAGGGUCAUUGGAAACUGGGAAACUUGAGUGCAGAAGAGGAGAGUGGAAUUCCACGUGUAGCGGUGAAAUGCGUAGAGAUGUGGAGGAACACCAGUGGCGAAGGCGACUCUCUGGUCUGUAACUGACGCUGAGGAGCGAAAGCGUGGGGAGCGAACAGGAUUAGAUACCCUGGUAGUCCACGCCGUAAACGAUGAGUGCUAAGUGUUAGGGGGUUUCCGCCCCUUAGUGCUGCAGCUAACGCAUUAAGCACUCCGCCUGGGGAGUACGGUCGCAAGACUGAAACUCAAAUGAAUUGACGGA